UUUUCCCUUUAUUAACUCACUGAAACCGCCUUUUCCCCGGCAGCGGCCGCGCACGGCCGAUAAAACUCUGGGGAGGCGGCGGGGGGGGAUAAUUGGCUAUUUCGAGCGGCUCGAGCGAGCGGAAUUUCAUUGAUUUCGGGGCCAUCAGCCCUUUCUCCUCGCCUGUCAUCUCCGCGGAAGGUCCUGCUCCAUCAGCCCCGCCGGCAGCUCCCUCCCCUCGGCCCCGGGGGCCGAUCCUUCCCGGAGAGGAAGCGAUUAACGCCGCAAACGCGACUCAACAGCACCUUAAUUCGGAAUUUAUUGCGGCCGGCAGGGGAGACUUAUUUCACAUCAAAGCCUCGCGGAGGCGAGGGGAGAGGAGGAGGGAAAAAAAACAACAAAAAAAAAAAAAAACCCCAAAAAAAAAUCCCCAAACGGCGGGAGUUGGAGGUUUAGGAGGAGCCGCUCCCCGGCUCGCGAUGUGUUUCAUGUGGGUUUGGGAGUCUGAUGAGCUCGGAGCCCCUCGGCAUCGCCCCGGGCCGCUUCGGUGUUUCAUUUUGGAAUCCCGAGGCCAACACGAGCCCAGACAAAAGGGAAGAGCCGGGGCGAGCUUCGGGAGCGCCGAGGGUUCGCGCUUUGAAGUUUUCUCCUCUUCUUUUUUCUUCUUUUUGUUUUUUUGGCCGUGCGGGGAGGAGGCAAAGGGGGGGACACGAAAGGAAUAAAAGGCAACAAGGGCGUUCCGACACUUCCCUGCUCGCAGCCAUCCCGAGAUGAAAAGCCAGGCUAUAAAUCAGAGCCGAGGGUGGCGAUUUGAUGAUUUAUUUUUUUUUUCCCCUUUUCCUUCUUUGUUGGUUUUUUUUUUUUUUUUUUUUGGCGUCGAGAUGAGGGGAGGGGUUACGGAGAAAUCCCCGCUCGCGGCUCCUUUCGGGGGCGAAAUCCAGCGGGGCUUUUCCCGCCCGGAGCUCGGGGGAGCAGCCCGGGAGCCUUCGGGGACUCCGCCGGCCAUGGGAACCGAGCCGCCGCCCGCGGGCCGGGGGCGCAGGGGCCGGGCCCCCCUCGCAGCCCCUCUCCCCAUCUCCCGAGGGGAAUCCUCCGCACCCCGAGGCGGCGUCUCCUCCUUCUCCUCGGAGCUCUGGAGUCUCGCAGCCCCGCUCCUCUCCCCGGAUCGGCCUCAGCUCGGCCGCAGCAGCCCCCGGGGACCCGGUGAGUUCCACUCGGCGCCGCGUCCGUCUGUCCCUCCGCACCACCCCACGGCCUCUUC
Molecule: long non-coding RNA, 1240 nt
Organism: Motacilla alba alba
Lineage: Eukaryota; Metazoa; Chordata; Aves; Passeriformes; Motacillidae
Exons: 3
Source: RefSeq, a predicted model, not a curated record